GGGCGUAAAGCGCACGCAGGCGGUCUGUUAAGCUAGAUGUGAAAGCCCCGCGCUCAACGUGGAGGGUCAUUUAGAACUGGCAGACUAGAGUCUUGGAGAGGGGAGUGGAAUUCCAGGUGUAGCGGUGAAAUGCGUAGAGAUCUGGAGGAACAUCAAUGGCGAAGGCAACUCCCUGGCCAAAGACUGACGCUCAUGUGCGAAAGUGUGGGUAGCGAACAGGAUUAGAUACCCUGGUAGUCCACACCGUAAACGCUGUCUACUAGCUGUUUGUGGAUUUAAUCCGUGAGUAGCGAAGCUAACGCGAUAAGUAGACCGCCUGGGGAGUACGGCCGCAAGGUUAAAACUCAAAUGAAUUGACGGGGGCCCGCACAAGCGGUGGAGCAUGUGGUUUAAUUCGAUGCAACGCGAAGAACCUUACCAGGCCUUGACAUCCUAGGAAUCCUGUAGAGAUACGGGAGUGCCUUCGGGAAUCUAGUGACAGGUGCUGCAUGGCU
This 494-nucleotide ribosomal RNA is filed under the name uncultured Glaciecola sp. RNAcentral describes it as "bacterial SSU rRNA". It matches the Rfam family "Bacterial small subunit ribosomal RNA", at positions 556 to 1050 of the family's 1533-position model. The record is from RNAcentral. Lineage: Bacteria; Pseudomonadati; Pseudomonadota; Gammaproteobacteria; Alteromonadales; Alteromonadaceae.